UAAAAUUACAUUUUAUUCUUAUUUCUACUGUUUCUUUUUUUUCCAAAUAUCUUUUUGUCAUUUUAAUACUAUUCUAUUUAAUUCAUAUUUAAAUUCACUUUUAAUGACCUUUUAUUAUAUUUUUACAUGACAGUUGAGUAUAUUUUGAAAUAUCAUGCAUACAUAGAAUACGUAUAACUUAUUCCAAAUAAGAUCUCAUUAUUGUUGAUGUGGAGUUACAUUGGACAUGUAUUAAUAUAUGACCAUUGGGAAGUUAUGUCUGAUUUAUUCUACUAUUUCUCCCCUUCUUUCUCUUCAUUCCCCUUUGUAUAGCCCAGUGAACUUCUAAUAUUCUCCUCCUUUGUUGUGAGUUAGCAUCCACAUAUCAGAGAGAACAUUCUGCCUUUGCUUUUGGGGAACUGUCUUAUUUCAACAUUUCUCUUAGCAUGAUAUUCUCCAGUUCCAUCCAUUUACCAGCAAAUGUCAUAAUUUCAUUCUUCUUUAUGGCUGAGUAAUAUUCAUCAUGCAUAUAUACCACAUAUUCCUUAUCAAUUCAACUGUUGUAAGGAACCUAGGUUGGUUCCAUAGCUUGGUUAUUGUGAAUUGAAAUACUAUAAGCAUUGAUGUGGCUAUGUCACUGUAGUAUGCCAAUUUUAAGUUAUUUACAUAUAUACCAAAGAGUAGGAUAACAGGGUAAAUUGGUGGUUCCAUUCCAACUUUUCUUAGGAAUCUCCACAGUGCUUUCCAGAGUGGUUCCACCAAUUUUCUGUCUUACCAGCAAUGUAUGAGUAAACCUCUUUCUCCACAUCCUCACCAACAAUUAUUGUUGCUUGUAUUCUUAAUAAUUGCCACUCAAGGAUGAAAUGGAAUCUCAAUGUAGUUUUGAUUUGCUUUUCUCUAAUUGCUAGAAAUGUUGAACUUUUUUUCAUGUAUUUUUUGACUACUUGUAUUUCUUCUGUGAAGCACCUGUUCAGUUCCUUAGCCCAUUUAUUGACUGGAUUAUUUGUUGUUUUGAUGUGAAGUUUUUCGAGCCCUUUGUAUAUCCUGGAGAUUAAUGCUCUAUCUGAGAUGCAGGUGGUAAAGAUUUCCUCCCAUUCUGUAGGCUCUCUGUUCAUAUUCUUGAUUAUUUUCUUUGAUGUGAAGAAGCUUAGCAGUUUGAUACUUUCCCAUGUAUUGAUUUUAUUUCUUGUACUUUAGAGUCUUACUGAGGAAGUUUGUUCCUAAUCCAACAUGGUAGAGAGUUGUGCCUACUUUUUCUUCUAGUAGGUGCAGUGUUUCUAAGGUCUAAGGUUUUAGUCCUUGAUCCACUUAGAGUUGAGUUUUGGGCAGGGUGAAAGGUGGGUUCAAUUUUAUUCUACAACGUAUGGAUUUUCAAUUUUCCCAGCACAAUUUGUUGAUGAAGCUAUCUUUUCUCCAAUGUAUGUUUUUGGUGCCUCUAUCUAGUAUGAAAUAACUGUAUUAUAUGGAUUUGACUCUGUGUCUUCUAGUUUGUUCCAUUAGUCUUCAUGUCAAUUUUUGUGCGAAUACUAUACCACUUUUGAAACUUUAGCUCUGUAGUAUAAUGUAAGAUCUGGUAUUGUGAUGUCUCCUGCUUCAUUUUUCUUGCUAAGGAUUGCUUUAUCUAUUCUUAUUUUUCCAAAAAAAAAAUUCAUAACUUUUUUUUUCUAUUUCUGUGAAGAUAAUCAUUGGAAUUUCAACAGGAAUUUCAUUAAAUCUAUAUAGAGCUUUUGGUAGUAUGGCCAUUUGAGAAUAUUAAUUCUGCCUAGCCAAGAACAUGGGAGAUUUUUUCAUCUUCUACAGUUUUCUUCAAUUUCUUUCUUUAGUGCUCUGUAGUUUUCAUUGUAGAGGUGUUUUACCUCUUUGUUAGAUUUAUUACCCAUUUUCUGAUACAUUUUUGAAUGGGAUAGUUUUCCUAUUUUCUCUUUAAGAUUCUUAACAGAAAAGGAAACAAUCAUGAAUGUGGACAGAGAGCCUCCAUAAUGGGAGAAAACCUUUGCCACCUGCAUCUCAGAUAAAGCAUUAAUUUCCAGGAUAGGUAAAGAACUUAACUCCAAAACCCAAAUAACCCAAUUAAUAAAUGGGCAAAGGAACUGAACAGGCACUUCUAAAUAACUAACGUAAUGUUUGUAUAUGGACUAUAUAAUAUGAAUUCAGGCCAACAAUACAUGAAAGGACUGGAUUUUAUUUAUAGCUGCUUAGGAAUGACAUCUUCUCUUUGAGUCCCUGAAUGGACAGGUUUGUUCCUAAUUUUUUUCUUCCUAACUAUAUACUUCCAUGAGUUUCUGAUUUUGAAUCAGAGGCAAUUUCCAUUAGAUCCUUUGUCUCAAAUAUCCUUUCAACAUUGUUAUUGACAUUUUCCAUACUCUAAGUUUUAUUUCCAUGUGUCGUUCAUAUAUAGCAGACUUACAAAGGAAAUUUGACAAAUGACCAAGAAAUAAUUUAUUACUUGCAUUUUUUUAAUAUUUAUUAUUUUUUAGUUGUAGUUGGACACAUUAUCUUUAUUUUAUUCUAUGUGAUGCUGAGGAUCAAACCCAGGGCCUCACACGUGCUAGGUGAGCGAUCUACCACUGAGCCACAAUCCCAGCCCUGACUUGCAUUUUUAUACCCUGAAUAAACUCAGUGCAUAUUGAAAAACUGAACCUAUGAUAUCUUUGAAACACUUUUCUAUGUCUCUGACUCCCUUAAGAGUCUUUAAUCAAGACUGGCUAUUUGUUGAUUUAUAGUCACAACAGUUAGCACUGCUUUUACCUCAUAAAAUACAUUCAGUAGCCACUUGACAUAGUUUUGAAGCCUGUUUGCAAAAAUAACCCAUUUCUGCUUCACAUAUUUUCAGUUAGACUUAUUAUUAAAUACUCUCUUUUUAAAAAUAUAAAAUCUUCCUAAUUUAAGAAUGGUUUCUAUAGUUUGAUCUGAAACUUGAUGUCAAUUUGAUAGCACUAGAAACACAUUUAAUCAACAAAAAUUUCUCAAGUGCCUAUUAUAUGUCAGAAUAAAUGCUGAAUACUAGCAUAACAGAAGUAAUCUUCAUAAAUCAAACCUCAAUAAUUUGAAUUGAAGCCAGAAUUAUUAUUCUCUCUUCCUUUCCUCUAUCUAGCAUUCUCCUGACCCUUAAAUAAAAAUCUAGGUCAAGUCUUAUGAUUUAUGCAGUCAUGCUCAGAUGAUAGAAAUUCCUCGUCACUUAUGAUUCACAAGCAUAAUCUUAUCUCAGGAAUAGUCAAAUCUACAAAUUUUAUUUGAAUGAAAUGAUUUUCUCCUGUUCUACUUUUGACAACAGUAGAAAAAGAGGGUUAUGAUUGACUUUUUUUUUUUCGCUAGGUUUUUUUUUGCUAGUCAUACUGUGACUUUUGUCCAAAAAUAAGAGAGGUGAUCAAUCAGGAAAAGUCUUAUUAGACUUAGUACAGAUUUGAACUAACACUGGUUUCCCUUCCUGUGGUAGAUAUUGAUACUGAAAAAUACACUUUCUCCUUCAGAGUGACUUGUGGUCCCAUUUAAGACAUCCCUAAAUUGCUGGCUGUCACUUGUUUAGUGCACACAGUAGAAGGUAUAGCAUGCUAGUGUAUAAUUGGUCACUGCUAAUUUCCCUGUGACCUCCUCAGCAUGAUAGCCUGUUCUCAUUCAGGGGAUCUCUGUGAGAAUACACAGUAUAGGAAAUCUUCGAAGUCAAAAUUAUUUAAGAAAAUUGAAAGCAAGUUUUCUUUAUUUCUCACAUGGCCACGUAUGAUCUUUGGGUAACACACUUUUGAAUCUGCAGCAACACAAAUGUCUUAUUCAUCUAAAUACAGAUCUCUGUGUGCUGCCACAUGUAACUUUAGUUAAAUUCAUUUUAGUUUUGUAGUUUAUCAGUGCCUCCACUGCCAGAUUUAAAGUGAGGAAAAGUAACUUUUCUUACUUUCCUUAUGGGGAUUUGGGUUGUCAUUCAAGGCAAAAUCUGUGCAAACAAAUAUUCAAAUUUAUAAAAUCCUUAUUGAAAUAUCAAUUUCACUUACAUAGACAGUGGUGUAAUUUUCAUGCAGUUCCUAUGCAGAUUCAAUAUUGGUUGCUUACAAUAGCAUUUGUAGUAUAAAAGCAUUUGGCACUCAGGAUCUGAGCUAAAACUGAGAGACUACUAUUUCUAGCUCUCUUUUAUGUAGUGAUGAAUAGAAGCUUACUAUAUAGGUGUUCACAUUGUAAGAGAAAAUUAGCAUACAGUAAUUGCUAACAGCAUGAUACUUGUUUUAAUGACAUAUAAAGCACUUACUCUGAGAUCCCCAGAAGAUUAAAAGAAUAAUUCUGCCUGGUUAUAUAACGUAAUUCUUAAAAAGUAGGCAAUAUUUGAUGGGUAGUUGAAAGAUGAGUAGAAGUUUGGCAGGAAUAGAAUAGCAAAAGCUUAUUCAACCAGAAGAGCUAUAUGUUCACAAGCAAAGAGGAAGAGAAUAAAAUUUGUUUGAGAGAAAACAAAAAAGUGGGGGGUGGGAGAAUGAGGGAUGGAAAUGAUGCUAGUUAAGUAUUUUGGACAAGAUGCCAAUAGUCUUAUGCCAUGUUUUAGGAAAUAAAGAGUUAAGAAUUUUUAUUCUAGAUAUAAUCAUGAUGCACUUUAGGUGAAAAUAAAGUAUUUCUCAUGAUGAUUGUGAUGUAAAAAUGGUCCAAGAUAGAGAAGUAGAGAACCCUGAAAAAGUUUCCUUGAAAAACAGGCUCUGAGAUACCAGACUUAAAACUAUAUUACAGAGCAAUAGUAACAAAAACAGCAUGGUACUGGUACCAUAACAGGAGGGUGGACCAAUGGUACAGAAUAGAGGACACAGAGACUAAUCCACAAAGCUACAACUAUCUUAUAUUUGAUAAAGGAGCUAAAAGCAUACAAUGGAGGGAGGAUAGCAUCUUCAACAAAUGGUGCUGGGAAAACUGGAAAUCCAUAUGCAACAAAAUGAAAC
RNAcentral lists this long non-coding RNA (4889 nucleotides) under Marmota monax (woodchuck). Lineage: Eukaryota; Metazoa; Chordata; Mammalia; Rodentia; Sciuridae. The record is from RNAcentral.